This 224-nucleotide ribosomal RNA is filed under the name uncultured bacterium. Its description in RNAcentral is "partial 16S ribosomal RNA". It matches the Rfam family "Bacterial small subunit ribosomal RNA", at positions 524 to 747 of the family's 1533-position model. The record is from RNAcentral.
UACGUAGGGUGCAAGCGUUAUCCGGAAUUAUUGGGCGUAAAGAGCUCGUAGGCGGUUUGUCGCGUCUGCUGUGAAAACCUAAGGCUCAACCUUGGGCUUGCAGUGGGUACGGGCAGACUAGAGUGCGGUAGGGGUGACUGGAAUUCCUGGUGUAGCGGUGGAAUGCGCAGAUAUCAGGAGGAACACCGAUGGCGAAGGCAGGUCACUGGGCCGCAACUGACGCU